GUUAAUUUAUGCAAAAUACGGCGUAUGAUUCGGUAGUAUUAAAUUGUAAAUAGAAAGCAUUUAUAAAAUUAGACAGCUACGAAAAUCGGGGCCUAGCAAUUUUUUUAUGAAGAAGGGGAGACGCAGACACACACAGUUCGGAAACCACUGUUCUACUCGUAUAUAUAGCGUGGUUUAAGCGAAGAUCCGAUAAUGGUAUAUGGGAAAAAUUAAAGUUUUUGUCUUAAUAUUAACGGCCAUUCUUAAGAUAAUGGCCAUCUUUACCGACUGGCAGUUUAGUCUCUGUACCGGUAAUAUUCGAACUUCAAACAUUUUUAUUCUUUCUAAAUUUUUUAAACGGAAACAAAUUUAAUACUUAAAAUUUCCCCUUUUCCAGUCGGUACUCGUUCGUUUCUUCCGGUAUUAAUUCGAUUGACUAGCCCCGCGCCAAUCCGUCUUUACCAUCCAUUGGUAUAAUUAAUAUGUCAUUUUGGUAGCGGCCAAAUUCCUUUCCGCUAUAAAAAUUAAACCAUUUUUUCGGCGGACUGAUUAUUUUUUGAAGAAUUAUUUUCUAACCUACCAUAUAAACCGCUGACCCGGUACUUCCCAGUUUAAUUAAUCCGGUAGUAUAAAUGUAUUAAUUGAAUAAUUUUGCGCCUCGAUGCUUUUAGCGCCGACACGGUAUAUUUGAAAUUAUUUCUUUUAAAAACCAAACCCUACCGCCUCUAUACCAAAAUACGCGGCCGAGUAUGGGCUUUCUAUAUGUUUUAAAUUGAACUAAUUACCACUCGGGUAAGAGAAACGCUAAGUAGCCUACCAGAAUACGUAAAUCUCUCGUUUAUUUAUUAUACUACGGUUGGUAAGAAAAAGACGCUCGAAACGCCUAGUAGGCCAUCGUUUCUACCGCCCACCCCUAACGGUUCCGUAAGAAGCGCCAUCCGGUACACAGAAGAUACACUUUUCUUUCUAUCGGUGUUUAAAAAAAUCUUCCGGUGUAGAAAAUGGCCGGGUUAACGGACGAUAUCUUAGCCCCGAAAGGGUGCGCAUUGGCGCCAAAUGCGGAAUUUUCUCUCUUCCCAGACACGCUCUGCCGCUGGUACUCCGACGUUCCAAUUAAGCCAAAAUGUCCGUUCAGACCACCGUGCCCGGCCGGAGUCCCGUCACCGUGCUUAAUCGAUUUUUACGUCAUCUUGACUGUUUAGCGCUGGGUAUUCCGGCUAUUGAAAUAACUGAGUGGAUGUUAGGACUAGAGGCGGGGCCACCGACUAGUCCUAACAACCACUCAAACGCGUCUGAUCUCGGGCCCGGGAUCCAUCCGCCAUCUCCUCAUUUUACCGCGGACGUCCAGGAUUGAUUCCGGAGAGUAGGUCGAGAGGAAAUAGUUGGGCUGGUCGGCUCUCUCCUUAGGUCCAAACAGGUAAAAUGACCCGCGGCUCGAUCGGGUCACCAGUAAACUGUCGAUAUAAUUUCCGAUUUUAAGAAACUCCAAAAAAGGUGGAGGGGACGAAAAUAACAAUAAUAUAAAUGUCGUUUGUAUUUUAGUACUUUAUAAAUAUUAUUUUUCUAGACCCGAAAACGAGUCGACGGGUAAAAGAAUGGAAACCCACUGUGAGCUGGAUAGCCCAUAUCUAAUUAAAGUGUACGGUACCGGAAGUUAAUUUGACCGGAUAGCGGAAUAAUUAAAUAUUUUCUUCCGAUAAAAAGUUAUAAAUUAGACACUACCAUUAUGUAUCACUAUUAGUCGCGUUAAAAGAGGUAAGUGGCCUACAAUAAAAUCGCAUUGAACGUUCCGACGAAAAAGUCGUGCCAAGGCGCGUUAAGAUAACCACCAGCCAUACGUUUUCUUUUUUUGAUUAACAGAUGACAGUAGUUUACAUUCAGUUAGAAUAAGCUCUUCCACAGCUGCCCUUCCCCGCGGAGGGAUGAUGGCCGGGCCCGGACCCUGUGAUAAAUAUUUUCAAGGGGUAGGAUCAGAGAUUCGAACCCGGGUUCUCUAGACGGGAAAGUCGAAGCGUUUCCGCGCGGCCAAUCCAGC
Molecule: long non-coding RNA, 2014 nt
Filed under: Androctonus crassicauda
Lineage: Eukaryota; Metazoa; Arthropoda; Arachnida; Scorpiones; Buthidae
Source: RNAcentral